This 27-nucleotide non-coding RNA is filed under the name Mus musculus (house mouse). The record is from RNAcentral. Lineage: Eukaryota; Metazoa; Chordata; Mammalia; Rodentia; Muridae.
UGCCCAGAUUCACCUAAUCAACCUCAA